Molecule: long non-coding RNA, 698 nt
Filed under: Triticum aestivum (bread wheat)
Lineage: Eukaryota; Viridiplantae; Streptophyta; Magnoliopsida; Poales; Poaceae
Description: long non-coding RNA (TAES_LNC023867)
Source: RNAcentral
UAUGUUGCUUGAAAGUUGCGGUUAACCGUAAGUAGAAGUCAAGGCAGCUACCCUUAAGCAGUUAAUAACAGAAUGUUCGGUCAGCCAUUACGGUGGAUGCUGCUCUGUCAGAUGAACCAUCCAUUUGUAGCUGAUCCGGAGCUAUCAGAAAGACUACAAAAUAUUUCACGAGGCAACAGUUGAACAGAGGGGUAACCCAGGCCAGCAACCUAGGCCAUUUCCUGGAAAAUAGUAGAUCAAUCAUCAGAACUACUCAAAAUAACAACUGGAAGACACGGAAAGAAAAGGAAGGUGCUGUGUAAGAUGGUCAUCUUACAGUGAGGAAGGACAGGCUCAUGGUCUAAAACGUAACCUGUCAACUGAAUAUUAAUCAUCUGCUGCCUUGGUGUUAACAAUUUCAGUCAGACAUCUCAGCAAAACCUGUCAACAGACGCUCUGUCUCCAUGUAUGUUACUUCUCUCUCUAAGUUAGUCAAGGCUCAUUGAUGGCAAAAAUGCUCGUCCACAGGCGCGAGGGAGGUUAAUAUGAAAUAGACCCUCUGGAGCUUUCUUACAGUGAGGACAGGCACGAAAGUCAGAAGCAACCGUCUUGCCUAAGGUCAAGUUCCUCAAACUAUCUACCGUCGUGAUGCCAAUGGUUUCCUUCCAGUCUUAUCUUCGAAACCUGUCAGCAGCAAGCUCUGUCUAAAUGUAUGGUAC